This 293-nucleotide ribosomal RNA is filed under the name uncultured Pseudomonadota bacterium. RNAcentral describes it as "uncultured proteobacterium partial 16S ribosomal RNA". It matches the Rfam family "Bacterial small subunit ribosomal RNA", at positions 159 to 454 of the family's 1533-position model. The record is from RNAcentral. Lineage: Bacteria; Pseudomonadati; Pseudomonadota.
UGUGCUAAUACCGCAUAAUCUCUCAGGAGAAAAGCAGGGGAUCGCAAGACCUUGCGCUUUAGGAGCGGCCGAUGCCUGAUUAGCUUGUUGGUAAGGUAAAAGCUUACCAAGGCUUCGAUCAGUAGCUGGUCUGAGAGGACGACCAGCCACACUGGGACUGAGACACGGCCCAGACUCUUACGGGAGGCAGCAGUGGGGAAUUUUGGACAAUGGGGGAAACCCUGAUCCAGCCAUGCCGCGUGAGUGAAGAAGGCCUUCGGGUUGUAAAGCUCUUUCAGCCGGAACGAAACGGU